GACGAACGCUGGCGGCGUGCUUAACACAUGCAAGUCGAACGGAAAGGCCCUGCUUUUGUGGGGUGCUCGAGUGGCGAACGGGUGAGUAACACGUGAGUAACCUGCCCUUGACUUUGGGAUAACUUCAGGAAACUGGGGCUAAUACCGGAUAGGAGCUCCUGCUGCAUGGUGGGGGUUGGAAAGUUUCGGCGGUUGGGGAUGGACUCGCGGCUUAUCAGCUUGUUGGUGGGGUAGUGGCUUACCAAGGCUUUGACGGGUAGCAGGCCUGAGAGGGUGACCGGCCACAUUGGGACUGAGAUACGGCCCAGACUCCUACGGGAGGCAGCAGUGGGGAAUAUUGCACAAUGGGCGGAAGCCUGAUGCAGCAACGCCGCGUGCGGGAUGACGGCCUUUGGGUUGUAAACCGCUUUCGCCUGUGACGAAGCGUGAGUGACGGUAAUGGGUAAAGAAGCACCGGCUAACUACGUG
Molecule: ribosomal RNA, 468 nt
Filed under: uncultured bacterium
Lineage: Bacteria
Description: partial 16S ribosomal RNA
Rfam family: Bacterial small subunit ribosomal RNA
Source: RNAcentral